CCUACGGGCGGCAGCAGUGGGGGAUAUUGCACAAUGGGGGCAACCCUGAUGCAGCGACGCCGCGUGUGGGAAGACGGUCUUCUGGAUUGUAAACCACUGUCCCCAGGGACGAAAAUGACGGUACCUGGGGAGGAAGCUCCGGCUAACUACGUGCCAGCAGCCGCGGUAAUACGGAGGGAGCAAGCGUUGUCCGGAAUUACUGGGUGUAAAGGGAGCGUAGGCGGGGAUGCAAGUUGGGUGUUAAAACUACCGGCUCAACCGAUAGUCGCACUCAAAACUGCAACUCUUGAGUGAAGUAGAGGCAGGCGGAAUUCGUGGUGUAGCGGUGAAAUGCGUAGAUAUUAGGAGGAACACCAGUGGCGAAGGCGGCCUGCUGGGCUUUUACUGACGCUGAGGCUCGAAAGUGUGGGGAGCAAACAGGAUUAGAUACCCCUGUAGUC
RNAcentral lists this ribosomal RNA (440 nucleotides) under uncultured bacterium. RNAcentral describes it as "partial 16S ribosomal RNA". It matches the Rfam family "Bacterial small subunit ribosomal RNA", at positions 338 to 795 of the family's 1533-position model. The record is from RNAcentral.